AUUGAUUAAGAAGAAAAACUCUUAUAAAUAGAUUUACAAUCUAUCGCCUAUUU
This 53-nucleotide transfer RNA is filed under the name Mycodrosophila dimidiata. RNAcentral's name for it is "tRNA-Tyr". Lineage: Eukaryota; Metazoa; Arthropoda; Insecta; Diptera; Drosophilidae. The record is from RNAcentral.